GAUGAACGCUGGCGGCGUGCCUAAUACAUGCAAGUCGAGCGAACGGACGAGAAGCUUGCUUUUCUGAUGUUAGCGGCGGACGGGUGAGUAACACGUGGAUAACCUACCUAUAAGACUGGGAUAACUUCGGGAAACCGGAGCUAAUAUCGGAUAAUAUUUUGAACCGCAUGGUUCAAAAGUGAAAGACGGUCUUGCUGUCACUUAUAGAUGGAUCCGCGCUGCAUUAGCUAGUUGGUAAGGUAACGGCUUACCAAGGCAACGAUGCAUAGCCGACCUGAGAGGGUGAUCGGCCACACUGGAACUGAGACACGGUCCAGACUCCUACGGGAGGCAGCAGUAGGGAAUCUUCCGCAAUGGGCGAAAGCCUGACGGAGCAACGCCGCGUGAGUGAUGGAGGUCUUCGGAUCGUAAAACUCUGUUAUUAGGGAAGAACAUAUGUGUAAGUAACUGUGCACAUCUUGACGGUACCUAAUCAGAAAGCCACGGCUAACUACGUG
This 497-nucleotide ribosomal RNA is filed under the name uncultured bacterium. RNAcentral describes it as "partial 16S ribosomal RNA". It matches the Rfam family "Bacterial small subunit ribosomal RNA", at positions 28 to 507 of the family's 1533-position model. The record is from RNAcentral.